CCUUCUUCCUUUCUAUAGCCCUGUGGUGGAAGAUUUUAUUAAAAUCCUACGUGAAGUUGAUAAGGCGCUUGCUGAUGACUUGGAAAAAAACUUCCCAAGUUUGAAGGAACCUUAUGCAAAAAUCCAGAUGUAAUGAGGUGGCUCCUUUCACCCUUCACGUGGUCUGCCAGGAAGUUGCCUACUUGCUAAAAGGUGUACCCUGAGCAUUUGUGACUCCGAGGGAAACCAGGAACAUCAUGCUGCAGAAACCCUUUGGAGGAACGUGCCAACUGCUCCGUAACCAUGAGCUGGCUCUCCUUUGAUGGAGAGAUUAAUAGUUUCCAUAAUUAUAUCAUCCUGGUUGUUCUGGGGCCAGAGUUUACUUAGACUUGAAAGAAAUUGAAGUUAAUUGAAAAA
RNAcentral lists this long non-coding RNA (396 nucleotides) under Homo sapiens (human). Its description in RNAcentral is "non-protein coding lnc-SAAL1-2:2". The record is from RNAcentral. Lineage: Eukaryota; Metazoa; Chordata; Mammalia; Primates; Hominidae.